GACGUAGGGGGCGAGCGUUGUCCGGAUAUACUGGGCGUAAAGCGCACGUAGGCGGCGCCGUAAGUCAGGGGUGAAAUCCCGGAGCUCAACUCCGGAACUGCCCUUGAAACUGCAGUGCUAGAAUCUUGGAGAGGCGAGUGGAAUUCCGAGUGUAGAGGUGAAAUUCGUAGAUAUUCGGAAGAACACCAGUGGCGAAGGCGACUCGCUGGACAAGUAUUGACGCUGAGGUGCGAAAGCGUGGGGAGCAGACAGG
This 253-nucleotide ribosomal RNA is filed under the name uncultured bacterium. Its description in RNAcentral is "partial 16S ribosomal RNA". It matches the Rfam family "Bacterial small subunit ribosomal RNA", at positions 524 to 776 of the family's 1533-position model. The record is from RNAcentral.